RNAcentral lists this long non-coding RNA (514 nucleotides) under Ovis aries (sheep). Its description in RNAcentral is "lncRNA (ENSOARG00000026219.1)". Lineage: Eukaryota; Metazoa; Chordata; Mammalia; Artiodactyla; Bovidae. The record is from RNAcentral.
GACGUGACACAAGAUGGGGAAGCCCGCGGGGCUGGCCUGACCGGGGGAGCCCCUACUGCCUGACCCUGCCCGGUGCUCGUGCAUCCCCAGCAGGCCUUUCUGCCUCAUCCUCAGCCGCGCAACUGCAUCGCGGUCCGGAGAGGGGCAGUUACCCCCACCCCCACCCCCAUCCCUGAGGUCCAGGCUUCGGAGCACCCAGGGGCGCUUUCAGGCUUCUGCGGUCCUGGCUGCCUCCAAGCCAGGCACGAGUCACCUUCCAGGGCCAGCGCUGGAGAAGAGGGAGGCAAGGCGGGGUCAAGGCGGGCCCAAGUGCGCAACCCACGGCGACCCAGGUGUGGAAGAGGCGGCGAGUGCGGGGCCAGGACCUGCGGGGAGCAAAGGGGAUGGAACUCGGAAGGACCCCGAGCCUGGCCACAAUGCAAGGAGAGAGAGACUCCUAUCAGAUUCUCUUACAGGUGAAAUUUGCCUUCCCACCAUCGCCUCAAAUAUGAGAGGAGCGAAAGCUGUAGUUUAG